This 501-nucleotide long non-coding RNA is filed under the name Rattus norvegicus (Norway rat). Its description in RNAcentral is "long non-coding RNA NONRATT019501". The record is from RNAcentral. Lineage: Eukaryota; Metazoa; Chordata; Mammalia; Rodentia; Muridae.
UGUAACAGAUAGACUGCCCCUCUGCUCACUUUUCUGUUUCACAGACACAAGGUCUUUUUGUCCCAAGAAAGCCUCCUGGCUUAGCUGUGUGACUAAAUGCUAUUUGCCCUCUUCAGUGGACCUCUAUUCUCAAGAUUCCCUUGUUUUCUCACCAUCCCAUUUGAGAUGCUUGUUAGUAACUGUUACAGGUCUUCUUUACCACCGAGGAAAGACAGAAUCCUACUAGAGGCCAAAAAAAAAGUGUUCCAGAGAUGGAUGGAAGGCCCUCACUUCUGCCUGCUCUCUUCAGACGCCUGAAGGUAGGGAGUGCUCCAGGUCUGCCGCCAGGCUCCAACGGUGGGUCUCUGAGGGGCUAGAAAAUGCCCCACCAAUCUGGCUAAGAUAAAGAAAAGAUAUGAAGAAAAAGUUACAAAAAUUUGAAGGGUUAAGUUGCUGAGAGUUAGUAUAAGUUACAGAGAAAAUAAGGUUAAAAAAAGAGAUAAAAAGAACAGAAAGCUAGAG